Molecule: ribosomal RNA, 482 nt
Filed under: uncultured bacterium
Lineage: Bacteria
Description: partial 16S ribosomal RNA
Rfam family: Bacterial small subunit ribosomal RNA
Source: RNAcentral
AUUGAACGCUGGCGGCAUGCUUUACACAUGCAAGUCGAACGGUAACAGGCCGCAAGGUGCUGACGAGUGGCGAACGGGGGAGUAAUGCAUCGGAACGUGCCCAGUCGUGGGGGAUAACUACUCGAAAGAGUAGCUAAUACCGCAUACGAUCUAUGGAUGAAAGCGGGGGACCGUAAGGCCUCGCGCGAUUGGAGCGGCCGAUGUCAGAUUAGGUAGUUGGUGGGGUAAAGUCUCACCAAGCCAACGAUCUGUAGCUGGUCUGAGAGGACGACCAGCCACACUGAGACUGAGACACGGCCCAGACUCCUACGGGAGGCAGCAGUGGGGAAUUUUGGACAAUGGGCGCAAGCCUGAUCCAGCAAUGCCGCGUGCAGCAAGAAGGCCUUCGGGUUGUAAAAUGCUUUUGUACGGAACGAAACGGCUCUGGUUAAUACCCGGGGCUAAUGACGGUACCGUAAGAAUAAGCACCGGCUAACUACGUG